RNAcentral lists this ribosomal RNA (611 nucleotides) under Brevibacterium sp. WH009009s. RNAcentral's name for it is "bacterial SSU rRNA". It matches the Rfam family "Bacterial small subunit ribosomal RNA", at positions 167 to 784 of the family's 1533-position model. The record is from RNAcentral. Lineage: Bacteria; Bacillati; Actinomycetota; Actinomycetes; Micrococcales; Brevibacteriaceae.
UACCGAAUAUGACUCCAACUCNCAUGAGUUGGNGUGGAAAGUUUUUUCGGUUGGGGAUGGGCUCGCGGCCUAUCAGUUUGUUGGUGAGGUAAUGGCUCACCAAGACGACGACGGGUAGCCGGCCUGAGAGGGCGACCGGCCACACUGGGACUGAGACACGGCCCAGACUCCUACGGGAGGCAGCAGUGGGGAAUAUUGCACAAUGGGGGAAACCCUGAUGCAGCGACGCAGCGUGCGGGAUGACGGCCUUCGGGUUGUAAACCGCUUUCAGCAGGGAAGAAGCCANNUUCGGGUGGUGACGGUACCUGCAGAAGAAGUACCGGCUAACUACNUGCCAGCAGCCGCGGUAAUACGUAGGGUACAAGCGUUGUCCGGAAUUAUUGGGCGUAAAGAGCUCGUAGGUGGUUGGUCACGUCUGCUGUGGAAACGCAACGCUUAACGUUGCGCGUGCAGUGGGUACGGGCUGACUAGAGUGCAGUAGGGGAGUCUGGAAUUCCUGGUGUAGCGGUGAAAUGCGCAGAUAUCAGGAGGAACACCGGUGGCGAAGGCGGGACUCUGGGCUGUAACUGACACUGAGGAGCGAAAGCAUGNNGAGCGAACAGGAUUAGAUA